This is a transfer RNA of 72 nucleotides. It matches the Rfam family "tRNA". From Rfam's summary of the family: Transfer RNA (tRNA) molecules are approximately 80 nucleotides in length. Their secondary structure includes four short double-helical elements and three loops (D, anti-codon, and T loops). Further hydrogen bonds mediate the characteristic L-shaped molecular structure. tRNAs have two regions of fundamental functional importance: the anti-codon, which is responsible for specific mRNA codon recognition, and the 3' end, to which the tRNAs corresponding amino acid is attached (by aminoacyl-tRNA synthetases). tRNAs cope with the degeneracy of the genetic code in two manners: having more than one tRNA (with a specific anti-codon) for a particular amino acid; and 'wobble' base-pairing, i.e. permitting non-standard base-pairing at the 3rd anti-codon position. The record is from Rfam.
GGCCCGGUAGUCUAGCGGUAUGAUAUCUGCUUUGGGAGCAGAAGGUCCCGGGUUCGAUCCCCGGCCGGGCCC